RNAcentral lists this ribosomal RNA (305 nucleotides) under uncultured bacterium. RNAcentral's name for it is "bacterial SSU rRNA". It matches the Rfam family "Bacterial small subunit ribosomal RNA", at positions 331 to 656 of the family's 1533-position model. The record is from RNAcentral.
CUGCACCUACGGGACGCAGCAGUGGGGAAUAUUGCACAAUGGGGGGAACCCUGAUGCAGCGACGCCGCGUGAGUGAAGAAGUAUUUCGGUAUGUAAAGCUCUAUCAGCAGGGAAGAUAAUGACGGUACCUGACUAAGAAGCCCCGGCUAACUACGUGCCAGCAGCCGCGGUAAUACGUAGGGGGCAAGCGUUAUCCGGAUUUACUGGGUUUAAAGGGUGCGUAGGCGGACUGUUAAGUCAGCGGUAAAAGCCCGGGGCUCAACCCCGGCGAGCCGUUGAAACUGGCUGUCUUGAGAUGUCGAGAG